CCUACGGGAGGCUGCAGUGGGGAAUAUUGCACAAUGGGCGCAAGCCUGAUGCAGCCAUGCCGCGUGUGUGAAGAAGGCCUUCGGGUUGUAAAGCACUUUCAGCGGGGAGGAAGGCGUUAAGGUUAAUAACCUUGUCGAUUGACGUUACCCGCAGAAGAAGCACCGGCUAACUCCGUGCCAGCAGCCGCGGUAAUACGGAGGGUGCAAGCGUUAAUCGGAAUUACUGGGCGUAAAGCGCACGCAGGCGGUCUGUCAAGUCGGAUGUGAAAUCCCCGGGCUCAACCUGGGAACUGCACUCGAAACUGGCAGGCUAGAGUCUUGUAGAGGGGGGUAGAAUUCCAGGUGUAGCGGUGAAAUGCGUAGAGAUCUGGAGGAAUACCGGUGGCGAAGGCGGCCCCCUGGACAAAGACUGACGCUCAGGUGCGAAAGCGUGGGGAGCAAACAGGAUUAGAUACCCCAGUAGUC
RNAcentral lists this ribosomal RNA (465 nucleotides) under uncultured Klebsiella sp. RNAcentral's name for it is "bacterial SSU rRNA". It matches the Rfam family "Bacterial small subunit ribosomal RNA", at positions 338 to 795 of the family's 1533-position model. The record is from RNAcentral. Lineage: Bacteria; Pseudomonadati; Pseudomonadota; Gammaproteobacteria; Enterobacterales; Enterobacteriaceae.